This 234-nucleotide ribosomal RNA is filed under the name Escherichia coli. RNAcentral describes it as "partial 23S ribosomal RNA". It matches the Rfam family "Bacterial large subunit ribosomal RNA", at positions 2709 to 2925 of the family's 2925-position model. The record is from RNAcentral. Lineage: Bacteria; Pseudomonadati; Pseudomonadota; Gammaproteobacteria; Enterobacterales; Enterobacteriaceae.
CUGGUGUUCGGGUUGUCAUGCCAAUGGCACUGCCCGGUAGCUAAAUGCGGAAGAGAUAAGUGCUGAAAGCAUCUAAGCACGAAACUUGCCCCGAGAUGAGUUCUCCCUGACUCCUUGAGAGUCCUGAAGGAACGUUGAAGACGACGACGUUGAUAGGCCGGGUGUGUAAGCGCAGCGAUGCGUUGAGCUAACCGGUACUAAUGAACCGUGAGGCUUAACCUUACAACGCCGAAG